UGAACGCGCACGCGAGCCUGUAAAAUGGUCUCCGUUAACCUGCGAUGUUGAUAGUAAUGUUUGUAAGCUAAAAUUUGUAUAAUUAAUAUUAAAAUGGCUGGUAAAAUAUGGAAUUCCGAGUUAUGGAAAUCAUGGGAUAAGCAUGGAAAAAAUGAUUUCCUCAAGUUAAUCAAGCAAAAAUAUAAGGAAGGGAACACAACAGAAUGGAGAAAGGGUUUAUACCAAUUGAUAUCAAAUGGAAUCCGAGGAAACGUAAAAAAGGAUAGUGUAGUGUCGACACUUGGUGAACUUAUGAAUAUUGAUGGUGCGAUUCCAUCAGCUGUUGUAGACAUAUUUACAUUAAUCGAUGCUGAAGCGCAUAAUGAGGAUAGAAACAAUUUGUAUUACAUUGUCAAAGAAUCGGAAAAGUUUCUCACAGAUAGAAUCUUGAAAGAGCGUCUGGAAAUUGAUACUCUUCAAGAUGUUGGGACGUUGAAGAAUCGCAAUUUUCAAACUAAGUUCAUCAAAGUUAAAACCAAACUCUACUACAAACAGCGAAAAUUCAAUUUGUUUCGCGAAGAGAGCGAAGGAUAUUCUAAACUGAUUGUUGAAUUAAAUCAAGAAUAUCAAGAAAAUGAAGUUGCAUCUACCUUGGAGAUUGUCAAGUCUCUCAUUGGUUACUUUAAUCUUGACCCUAACAGAGUUCUUGAUAUUUUGCUGGAAACAUUUGAAAAUCGGCCAGAUGACGACAGUUUAUUUAUUCCUCUCAUUCGCUCUUACAUGAGUGACCAGCAAGUACUUUGCGAAGUUCUAGGCUUUAAAUAUCGCUCUUCAACAGCAGCAACCCCAUUUUCUUUACAGAAAGUUGCAGCAUUGAUGUUGCAACAUCAUGUAAUCAAACUGGACGAUAUUUUACCCUGGCUUGUGCCAGACGACAAGGAUAUAAUUAAGGAUCAUGAAUUGGCAAUGAAACAAGCUAAAGAAUAUGUUAGAAAGAUGAGUGUCAUAUCCACUAAAGAUAAGGAGGAAGUCCCUGAGGAAAAAGAUGUCGUACAGGAUAAGUACGUUACCAAUCAAAAGUUUGGACUCUGUCAAGCAUUAUUAGAAGUCGGUGCAUGGGACAUAGCACAGAAUUUAUUUAAACGACUACCAGAUCAUUGCUUUACUGAUCAACGACCAAUCGCACUGGCACUUUGCAGAAUGAUUCAGUCAAUCAUCGAACCAGCCUACAGAAAAUACUGCAUCAUAUCACCAAAGUUACCUGGUAGAAAAGUGCCGCCAAUGAAAAGCCCUCUAGCUCCACUGCCUUUUUAUAAAUUGGACGACAUACACGAUCGUUUACUGCCAAUGCUGAUGAUACUUGGACCUAACUUACAUCACGAUGCAAUUUUGAUGUACAAAAUUAUGCGUCUGUGUCACGUUGCUAUCAAGCAAUGCGAAUUGGACUCAAAUAAGCAACCUAUAAGCAAAGAAAACAAUCUUUACUAUGAUGUGCUUACAAUUUUGGAUGUGGCACUACUGCCCUCUCUUUCGUUUAUGGAUUGCAACUGUUGCGUAGCUGAAGAGAUUUGGAAUAUACUAAAAUUUUACCCUUACCAAAGCCGGUACUGUCUUUACGCACGAUGGAAAAAUGAUACACCUUUACAACAUGCAGCGUUGCUUAGAAAAAGAGCAGAUGCUCAAAAAAAGAUUAAGUCAAUAAUGAAGCGCGUCAGUAAAGAGACCAUAAAACCAGUAGGAAGAUCUAUUGGCAAGCUGACCCAUUCUUCCCCUGGAGUUUUGUUUGAUUAUGUACUGAUACAAAUUCAAUUGUACGACAACCUUAUUGGGCCUGUGGUGGAUUCCCUUAAAUAUUUGACAAACAUCUCGUAUGACAUACUUGGCUAUUGCCUGGUAGAAGCUUUAGCUGGAGCUGACAGGGACAGAUUUAAGCAUGACGGUACAAGCAUUUCUCUCUGGUUACAGUCACUUGCUUCUUUCUGUGGAGCUAUCUUUAAAAAAUACAACAUUGAGCUUACUGGACUUCUACAAUAUGUGGCCAAUCAACUUAAGGCACAGAAAAGCUUAGAUUUGUUAAUUGUAAAGGAAAUUGUGCAGAAAAUGGCUGGUAUAGAAGCCGCUGAAGAAAUGACUCGUGAACAAUUGGAUGCAAUGGCAGGCGGGGAUCUCCUCAAAAAUGAAGCUGGAUACUUCAGUCAAGUUCGAAAUACGAAAAAAUCAUCACAGCGUUUGAAAGAUGCUCUGUCAGAACAUGACUUGGCCGUAGCUCUUUGUCUACUCAUGGCCCAACAAAAACACUGUGUUGUAUACAGAGAAACCGACAAGUCUCACCUCAAGCUUGUAGGUAAAUUAUAUGACCAGUGUCAAGAUACACUCGUUCAAUUUGGCACAUUUCUUGGAUCAACCAUGACUGUGGACGAAUAUGUAGAACGGCUACCGUCGAUACACUCCAUGCUUCAAGAUAAUCACAUACAUUCUGAUGUCGCAUUUUUUCUUGCACGACCAAUGUUUGCUCAUGCCAUUAAUAUAAAGUACGAUUCAAUUAGGAAAGCUGAUCCUAAUUAUAAAAAAAUGUCAAGCGCAUUGAAACAGGCAAAGUACGCUGAAGCAGCACAAGCUGUUAUGGCUCCUGUUGCUCUUUCUGUCAGACCAUUACACCCACUUAAAGUAUGGGAAGAUAUUUCACCACAAUUUUUAGUGACUUUCUGGUCACUUACAAUGUAUGAUUUGUAUGUUCCUGUUGAGAGCUAUGAAAGAGAAAUAAACAAGCUCAAACAGCUUGCUUUGCAGGCUGCUGAUUCCAAAGAUAUGAACAUGAGCAAGGGCAAAAAGGAACAAGAACGUUAUACGACUUUGACUGAAAAACUGCAGGAUGAGAAGAAAAAACAAGAAGAACACGUUGGGAAAGUUUUUGCCUAUUUAAGGCAAGAAAAAGACUCAUGGUUUUUGUCGAGGAGUGCUAAAUCCGCUAAAAAUGAAACUAUUACACAAUUUCUACAGUUAUGUUUGUUUCCUCGGUGCACAUUUACAACUGUUGACGCUAUGUACUGUGCCAAAUUUGUACACACUAUUCACUCUCUGAAAACUGCGAAUUUCUCUACACUUCUCUGCUAUGAUAGACUCUUCUGUGAUAUCACUUACUCGGUAACAUCAUGUACAGAAAAUGAAGCUAAUCGAUAUGGUAGAUUUUUAUGCGCUAUGUUGGAAACUGUGAUGCGAUGGCAUUCCGAAGAAGCUCUUUUCGAUAAGGAAUGUAGUAACUACCCUGGUUUUGUGACCAAAUUUCGUGUCAGCAAUCAGUUCUCAGAAGCAAAUAACAUGGUUGGAUUUGAAAAUUACAGACACGUCUGUCACAAGUGGCAUUACAAAAUAACAAAGGCUAUCGUUGUUUGCCUCGAUUCAAAAGAUUACGUGCAAAUAAGAAAUUCCUUGAUAAUACUUAUCAAAAUACUACCACAUUUUCCCGUUCUGGCAAAACUCUCGCAAAUACUUGAAAGAAAAGUUGAAAAAGUACGUGAAGAGGAGCGUGGUCAGCGCCAAGACUUGCAUGUAUUAGCAACAUCCUACAGUGGACAAUUGAAGGCAAAAACACCAAGUAUGAUCCGUGAAUCAGAUUUUCAUCACGUUGGCGACAAGGCUGGAAAAAACCUUGAAUCGUCUAAUGACGAUAGUGUGGAAAAAGUUAGUAAUGGAGUUGCAAUCAAAGAAGUUAAUAAUGGAGAUACUCGUACAGAAAAAGAUGGACAGGAAUUACGUGAAAAACGCAGCAUAUCAGGGCAAACCCAUCAUGACAGUACUGAAAAACUCCGUAAAAAAGAAGAAAGUAAAGAUCUGAUAGAAGGAAGGGAGAAGUCAAUUAAAAAAGAAGAACCAAAAUCAGAUGAUACGACUGAUAAAAAGGAACGAAAAUAUUACAAGGAUGAACAUUAUUAUGGUGGAGCUGUUGACAAUUUGGAUCGUGAUCUUUCGAGUGUGUCUAAUAGCAGCGGUAGUUCGGGUCCAUCACAAGAUGCACCUGAGAGAGAUACUAAACGAAGGAAAGUUGAAAAUGUUCCCAAAAAUAAACAAGAGAAUAGGAGAACAGAAGUAGCUGCUGAAAAGAAGGAACGUUCUGGGAAAACAAAAGUGCGAACAGACGAAGAGAAAGAACUUCGCAGAGAAAGGAAACUUGGUCGUAAAAGGGAUCGAACAGAAGAGUCUAUUGUACCUGCAGAACAAAAACGAAGGAAAGAUGACGAAAGAGCAAAGGGAACUCAUCAAAACGGUGAUGUUCCAGAACACAGAGAAAAACAUCAUUAUAAUAAGUUAUUAAAGACGUCCGCAUCAAGUAUGUUGAAAAGACGAGUUGGAAGACAAUAACAAUGCCCACAAAGAAUAUAUAGGAAAAAUCUCCAUACACAAAGGAACGGGUUCACGAACGAGAAGGACGGGAAACACGCGACAAACAUAGGCGAAGUUCAGAUCCAAAACGGAGGUGAUGUAGAUCAAUGGAAGAAGUUUGACUUACAUUUUAUAUCAUAUGUUUGAAUGUUGUAUGUAAUUAAGAUAGAUUUCGGAAACAAUAAAGAAGCAUAGUGAAUAAUUUGUA
This 4567-nucleotide unclassified non-coding RNA is filed under the name Neodiprion lecontei (redheaded pine sawfly). RNAcentral's name for it is "tHO complex subunit 2, transcript variant X2". Lineage: Eukaryota; Metazoa; Arthropoda; Insecta; Hymenoptera; Diprionidae. The record is from RNAcentral.